UAACGUGACGGUACCCAAAUUGCACCUAUUUUGACAGUUUUUUCAACUACGUUUUUUAUGCCCCACCUACGAUAGUAGAGGGGCAUUAUGUUUUCUGGUCUGUGCGUCCGUUCGUUCGUUCGUCCGUCCGUCUGUUCGUUCGUUCGUUCGUCUGUUCGUUCGUCCGUCUGUCCCGCUUCAGGUUAAAGUUUUUGGUCAAGGUAGUUUUUGAUGAAGUUGAAGUCCAAUCAACUUGAAACUUAGUACACAUGUUCCUUAUGAUAUGAUCUUUCUAAUUUUAAAGCCAAAUUAAACUUUUGACCCCAAUUUCAUGGUCGACUUAACAUAGAAAAUGAAAGUGCAUGUUUCAGGUUAAAGUUUUUGGUCAAGGUAGUUUUUGAUGAAGUUGAAGUCCAAUCAACUUGAAACUUAGUACAAAUGUUCCCUAUGAUAUUAUCUUUCUAAUUUUAAUGCCUAAUUAUAUUUUUUAUCCAAUUUCACGGUCCAUUGAACAUGGAAAAUGAUAGUGGGAGUGGGGCAUCCGUGUACUUUGGACACAUUCUUGUUUAUGAUUAAGACAAAAGUUUCCAUUUUGUGUUUAUUUUGUAGCCGUAUCCUUCUUUAUUAUAUAGGUACACCAAUUUGAUUUUCAAUUCAUAUGGAAUCAUAGAAAAAUUGGUCUGAACUAACCUCCAAGCUAUCAAUGAUUCUGUAAUGAGGAGUACCCAAAUUGCAUCCAUGCUUAAAUUCGCAUCGUCAAAAGUCGAAUAACAGAGCUUUUGUUUAUUUUUAUGCCCCACCUACGAUAGUAGAGGGGCAUUAUGUUUUCUGGUCUGUGCGUCCGUUCGUCCGUUCGUUCGUCCGUUCGUUCGUCCGUUCGUUCGUCCGUUCGUCCGUCUGUCCCGCUUCAGGUUAAAGUUUUUGGUCAAGGUAGUUUUUGAUGAAGUUGAAGUCCAAUCAACUUGAAACUUAGUAUACAUGUGCCCUAUGAUAUGAUCUUUCUAAUUUAAAUGCCAAAUUAGAGUUUUGACCCCAAUUUUACGGUUCACUGAACAUAGAAAAUGAUAGUGCAAAUUUCAGGUUAAAGUUUUUGGCUUCAGGUUAAAGUUUUUGGUCAAGGUAGUUUUUGAUGAAGUUGAAGUCCAAUCAACUUGAAACUUAGUAUACAUGUGCCCUAUGAUAUGAUCUUUCUAAUUUAAAUGCCAAAUUAGAGUUUUGACCCCAAUUUUACGGUUCACUGAACAUAGAAAAUGAUAGUGCAAAUUUCAGGUUAAAGUUUUUGGUCAAGGUAGUUUUUGAUGAAGUUGAAGUCCAAUCAACUUGAAACUUAGUAUACAUGUGCCCUAUGAUAUGAUCUUUCUAAUUUAAAUGCCAAAUUAGAGUUUUUACCCCAAUUUUACGGUUCACUGAACAUAGAAAAUGAUAGUGCAAAUUUCAGGUUAAAGUUUUUGGCUUCAGGUUAAAGUUUUUGGUCAAGGUAGUUUUUGAUGAAGUUGAAGUCCAAUCAACUUGAAACUUAGUAUACAUGUGCCCUAUGAUAUGAUCUUUCUAAUUUAAAUGCCAAAUUAGAGUUUUGACCCCAAUUUUACGGUUCACUGAACAUAGAAAAUGAUAGUGCAAAUUUCAGGUUAAAGUUUUUGGUCAAGGUAGUUUUUGAUAAAGUAGAAGUCCAAUCAACUUGAAACUUAGUAUACAUGUUCCCUUUGAUAAGAUCAUUCUAAUUUUAAUGCCAAAUUAGAGAAUUUAUUCCAAUUUCACAGUCCUUUAAACAUAGAAAAUGAUAGUGUGAGUGGGGCAUCCGUGUACUGUGGACACAUUCUUGUUUUCAAAUAU
Molecule: long non-coding RNA, 1812 nt
Filed under: Mytilus galloprovincialis (Mediterranean mussel)
Lineage: Eukaryota; Metazoa; Mollusca; Bivalvia; Mytilida; Mytilidae
Source: RNAcentral